GGGGGGCAACCCUGAAUCCAGCAUGCCGCGUGAGUGAUGAGGGCCUUCGGGUUGUAAAGCUCUUUCGCCCACGACGAUGGUGACGGUAGUGGGAGAAGAAGCCCCGGCUAACUUCGUGCCAGCAGCCGCGGUAAGACGGAGGGUGCAAGCGUUGUUCGGAUUGACUGGGCGUAAAGGGCGUGUAGGCGGUUGGUCAAGUCGGGUGUGAAAGCCUGGGGCUCAGCUCCAGAAGUGCAUCCGAUACUAGCCAGCUAGAGCGCGAUAGAGGAGGGUGGAAUUCCUGGUGUAGCGGUGAAAUGCGUAGAUAUCAGGAGGAACACCGGCGGCGAAGGCGGCCCUCUGGAUCGUUGCUGACGCUGAGACGCGAAAGCGUGGGGAGCAAACAGGAUUAGAUACCCUGGUAGUCCACGCCUUAAACGAUGGGUACUAGGUGUUCGGGGUGUUGACCCCCUGAGUGCCGCAGUUAACGCAUUAAGUACCCCGCCUGGGGACUACGGCCGCAAGGCUAAAACUCAAAAAAAUUGACGGA
This 529-nucleotide ribosomal RNA is filed under the name uncultured bacterium. RNAcentral's name for it is "bacterial SSU rRNA". It matches the Rfam family "Bacterial small subunit ribosomal RNA", at positions 372 to 917 of the family's 1533-position model. The record is from RNAcentral.